UACGUAGGGUGCAAGCGUUGUCCGGAAUUAUUGGGCGUAAAGAGCUCGUAGGCGGUCUGUCGCGUCGGCUGUGAAAACCCGGAGCUCAACUCCGGGCCUGCAGUCGAUACGGGCAGACUGGAGUUCGGCAGGGGAGACUGGAAUUCCUGGUGUAGCGGUGAAAUGCGCAGAUAUCAGGAGGAACACCGGUGGCGAAGGCGGGUCUCUGGGCCGAUACUGACGCUGAGGAGCGAAAGCGUGGGGAGUGAACAGG
Molecule: ribosomal RNA, 253 nt
Filed under: uncultured bacterium
Lineage: Bacteria
Description: partial 16S ribosomal RNA
Rfam family: Bacterial small subunit ribosomal RNA
Source: RNAcentral